UUUACACAUGCAAGUCGAACGGUAGAGGGGGCAACCCCUCGAGAGUGGCGAACGGGUGAGUAAUGUAUCGGAACGUGCCCAGUCGUGGGGGAUAACGUAGUGAAAAUUACGCUAAUACCGCAUACGAUCUACGGAUGAAAGCGGGGGAUCGCAAGACCUCGCGCGAUUGGAGCGGCCGAUAUCAGAUUAGGUAGUUGGUGGGGUAAAGGCUCACCAAGCCAACGAUCUGUAGCUGGUCUGAGAGGACGACCAGCCACACUGGAACUGAGACACGGUCCAGACUCCUACGGGAGGCAGCAGUGGGGAAUUUUGGACAAUGGACGAAAGUCUGAUCCAGCCAUUCCGCGUGCAGGACGAAGGCCUUCGGGUUGUAAACUGCUUUUGUACGGAACGAAAAAGCUCUUAUUAAUACUAGGAGUCCAUGACGGUACCGUAAGAAUAAGCACCGGCUAACUACGUGCCAGCAGCCGCGGUAAUACGUAGGGUGCAAGCGUUAAUCGGAAUUACUGGGCGUAAAGCGUGCGCAGGCGGUUAUAUAAGACAGAUGUGAAAUCCCCGAGCUUAACUUGGGAACUGCAUUUGUGACUGUAUAGCUAGAGUACGGCAGAGGGGGAUGGAAUUCCGCGUGUAGCAGUGAAAUGCGUAGAUAUGCGGAGGAACACCGAUGGCGAAGGCAAUCCCCUGGGCCUGUACUGACGCUCAUGCACGAAAGCGUGGGGAGCAAACAGGAUUAGAUACCCUGGUAGUCCACGCCCUAAACGAUGUCAACUGGUUGUUGGGUCUUCACUGACUCAGUAACGAAGCUAACGCGUGAAGUGAC
RNAcentral lists this ribosomal RNA (820 nucleotides) under uncultured bacterium. RNAcentral describes it as "bacterial SSU rRNA". It matches the Rfam family "Bacterial small subunit ribosomal RNA", at positions 48 to 869 of the family's 1533-position model. The record is from RNAcentral.